Molecule: ribosomal RNA, 914 nt
Filed under: uncultured fungus
Lineage: Eukaryota; Fungi
Description: SSU rRNA
Rfam family: Eukaryotic small subunit ribosomal RNA
Source: RNAcentral
CCUGGUUGAUUCUGCCAGUAUUCAUAUGCUUGUCUCAAAGAUUAAGCCAUGCAUGUCUAAGUAUAAGCAACUUUGUACUGUGAAACUGCGAAUGGCUCAUUAAAUCAGUUAUAGUUUAUUUGAUGGUUUUUGCUACAUGGAUAACUGUGGUAAUUCUAGAGCUAAUACAUGCAUUCAAGCCCCGACUUCUGGAAGGGGUGUAUUUAUUAGAUAAAAAUCAACUUUGUUGGUGAAUCAUAAUAACUUCUCGGACCGCAUGGCCUCGUGCUGGCGGUGCUUCAUUCAAAUAUCUGCCCUAUCAACUGUCGAUGGUAGGAUAGAGGCCUACCAUGGUUGCAACGGGUAACGGGGAAUAAGGGUUCGAUUCCGGAGAGGGAGCCUGAGAAACGGCUACCACAUCCAAGGAAGGCAGCAGGCGCGCAAAUUACCCAAUCCCAACACGGGGAGGUAGUGACAAUAUGUAACAAUAUGCGGCCUUAUACGUCGUAUAAUUGGAAUGAGUACAAUUUAAAUCCCUUAACGAGGAACAAUUGGAGGGCAAGUCUGGUGCCAGCAGCCGCGGUAAUUCCAGCUCCAAUAGCGUAUAUUAAAGUUGUUGCAGUUAAAAAGCUCGUAGUUGGACCUUGGACCUGGACAGGCGGUCCGCCUCACGGCGAGUACUGUCUUGCUGGGUCUUUCCUCUUGGUGAUCUGUUGUUUCGGCAGCAGGGAACCAGGACCUUUACUUUGAAAAAAUUAGAGUGUUCAAAGCAGGCUCGACGCCGGAAUAUAUUAGCAUGGAAUAAUAAAAUAGGACGUGCGGUUCUAUUUUGUUGGUUUUUGAAAUCGCGUAAUGAUUAAUAGGGACAGUCGGGGGCAUUAGUACUCACAUGCUAGAGGUGAAUUUCUGGAUUUUGUGAAGACUAACUCUGCGAA